RNAcentral lists this ribosomal RNA (423 nucleotides) under uncultured bacterium. RNAcentral describes it as "bacterial SSU rRNA". It matches the Rfam family "Bacterial small subunit ribosomal RNA", at positions 917 to 1344 of the family's 1533-position model. The record is from RNAcentral.
GGGCCCGCACAAGCGGUGGAGCAUGUGGUUUAAUUCGAUGAUACGCGAGGAACCUUACCAGGGUUUAAAUGCAGAACGACAGGGGUGGAAACACCCCCUUCUUCGGACGGACUGCAAGGUGCUGCAUGGUUGUCGUCAGCUCGUGCUGUGAAGUGUCGGGUUAAGUCCCAUAACGAGCGCAACCCCCAUUUCUAGUUGCCAGCGGUUCGGCCGGGGACUCUAGAGAAACUGCCAGCGUAAGCUGUGAGGAAGGUGGGGAUGACGUCAAAUCAUCACGGCCCUUACAUCCUGGGCCACACACGUGCUACAAUGGUAGGGACAACAGGUUGCCAACCCGCGAGGGUGAGCCAAUCCCAAAACCCUAUCUCAGUUCGGAUCGAAGUCUGCAACUCGACUUCGUGAAGUUGGAAUCGCUAGUAAUCG